AUGCACGCUGGCGGCGUGCCUAAUACAUGCAAGUCGAGCGAACAGACGAGGAGCUUGCUCCUCUGACGUUAGCGGCGGACGGGUGAGUAACACGUGGAUAACCUACCUAUAAGACUGGGAUAACUUCGGGAAACCGGAGCUAAUACCGGAUAAUAUAUUGAACCGCAUGGUUCAAUAGUGAAAGACGGUUUUGCUGUCACUUAUAGAUGGAUCCGCGCCGCAUUAGCUAGUUGGUAAGGUAACAGCUUACCAAGGCAACGAUGCGUAGCCGACCUGAGAGGGUGAUCGGCCACACUGGAACUGAGACACGGUCCAGACUCCUACGGGAGGCAGCAGUAGGGAAUCUUCCGCAAUGGGCGAAAGCCUGACGGAGCAACGCCGCGUGAGUGAUGAAGGUCUUCGGAUCGUAAAACUCUGUUAUUAGGGAAGAACAAAUGUGUAAGUAACUAUGCACGUCUUGACGGUACCUAAUCAGAAAGCCACGGCUAACUACGUG
Molecule: ribosomal RNA, 496 nt
Filed under: uncultured bacterium
Lineage: Bacteria
Description: partial 16S ribosomal RNA
Rfam family: Bacterial small subunit ribosomal RNA
Source: RNAcentral